RNAcentral lists this ribosomal RNA (428 nucleotides) under uncultured bacterium. RNAcentral's name for it is "bacterial SSU rRNA". It matches the Rfam family "Bacterial small subunit ribosomal RNA", at positions 355 to 774 of the family's 1533-position model. The record is from RNAcentral.
UGGGGAAUUUUCCGCAAUGGGCGAAAGCCUGACGGAGUGACGCCGCGUGUGGGACGAAGGCCUUCGGGUCGUAAACCACUGUCAGUGGGAAAGAUGGGUGUCGGCGUGAUAACCGCCGGCAUUUGACGGUACCUGCAGAGGAAGCCCCGGCUAACUCUGUGCCAGCAGCCGCGGUAAGACAGAGGGGGCAAGCGUUGCUCGGAAUUACUGGGCGUAAAGGGCGCGUAGGCGGGAUGGCAAGUCGGUCGUGAAAUCCCUCGGCUCAACUGAGGAUCGUCGAUCGAUACUGCCGUUCUUGAGGAUUGCAGAGGAGACUGGAAUUCCCGGUGUAGCGGUGAAAUGUGUAGAGAUCGGGAGGAACACCGGUGGCGAAGGCGGGUCUCUGGGCAAUUCCUGACGCUGAGGCGCGAAAGCGUGGGGAGCAAACG